UUCCUCUUUCUUUGGGUUUUUGCACCAGGUUGUUUGAUCCUCAGGUGAUGAAAGAUCCUGGCUGAAGUAGCAAAGUAGGGCUCCAUGAAUGCUGCUGAACAUAGAAGAAGGGUGGAGAAAGACUGGUGGAGGGAGAUGGAAAUGCAGGUGUUGACAGGUUGUGUAGGUGUUGACAUUUUGUGUAGGUGUUGACAGGUUGUGUAGUUGUUGUUGACAGGUUGUGUAGUUGACAGGUUUUGUAGGAGUUGUUGACAGGUUAUGUAGUUGUAGUUGUUAACAGGUUGUGUAGGUGUUGGCAGGUUGUGUAGGUGUUGGCAGGUUGUGUAGGUGUGGGCAGGUUGUGUAGGUGUGGGCAGGUUGUGUAGUUGUUAACAGGUUGUGUAGUUGUUAACAGGUUGUGUAGGUGUUGGCAGGUUGUGUAGGUGUGGGCAGGUUGUGUAGGUGUUGGCAGGUUGUGUUGGUGUUGACAGGUUGUGUAGUUGUAGUUGUUAACAGGUUGUGAAGGUGUUGGCAGGUUGUGUAGGUGUUGGCAGGUUGCGUAGGUGCUGACCAGGUUGUGUAGGUGUUGACAGGUUGUGUAGUUGUAGUUGUUAACAGGUUGUGUAGGUGUUGACCAGGUUGUGUAGGUGUUGACAUGCUGUGUAGUUGUAGUUGUUAACAGGUUGCGUAGGUGCUGACUAGGUUGUGUAGGUGUUGACAGGUUGUGUAGUUGUAGUUGUUAACAGGUUGUGUAGGUGCUGACCAGGUUGUGUAGGUGUUGACAGGUUGUGUAGUUGUAGUUGUUAACCGGCUGUGUAGGUGUUGACAGGUUGCGUAGGUGUUGACCAGGUUGCGUAGGUGUUGACCAGGUUGCGUAGGUGUUGACCAGGUUGUGUAGGUGUUGACAUGCUGUGUAGGUGUUGUUGACAGGUUGUGUAGGAGUUGUUGACAGGUUGUGUAGGUGUUGACAGGUUGUGUAGGAGUUGUUGACAGGUUGUGUAGGAGUUGUUGACAGGUUGUGUAGGUGUUGACAGGUUGUGUAGGUGUUGACAUUUUGUGUAGGUGUUGACAGGUUGUGUAGUUGUUGUUGACAGGUUGUGUAGUUGACAGGUUUUGUAGGAGUUGUUGACAGGUUAUGUAGUUGUAGUUGUUAACAGGUUGUGUAGGUGUUGGCAGGUUGUGUAGGUGUUGGCAGGUUGUGUAGGUGUUGGCAGGUUGUGUAGGUGUGGGCAGGUUGUGUAGGUGUUGGCAGGUUGUGUUGGUGUUGACAGGUUGUGUAGUUGUAGUUGUUAACAGGUUGUGUAGGUGUUGACCAGGUUGUGUAGGUGUUGACAUGCUGUGUAGUUGUAGUUGUUAACAGGUUGCGUAGGUGCUGACUAGGUUGUGUAGGUGUUGACAGGUUGUGUAGUUGUAGUUGUUAACAGGUUGUGUAGGUGUUGACCAGGUUGUGUAGGUGUUGACAUGCUGUGUAGUUGUAGUUGUUAACAGGUUGCGUAGGUGCUGACUAGGUUGUGUAGGUGUUGACAGGUUGUGUAGUUGUAGUUGUUAACAGGUUGUGUAGGUGCUGACCAGGUUGUGUAGGUGUUGACAGGUUGUGUAGUUGUAGUUGUUAACAGGUUGUGUAGGUGUUGACCAGGUUGUGUAGGUGUUGACAUGCUGUGUAGUUGUAGUUGUUAACAGGUUGCGUAGGUGCUGACUAGGUUGUGUAGGUGUUGACAGGUUGUGUAGUUGUAGUUGUUAACAGGUUGUGUAGGUGCUGACCAGGUUGUGUAGGUGUUGACAGGUUGUGUAGUUGUAGUUGUUAACAGGUUGUGUAGGUGCUGACUAGGUUGUGUAGGUGUUGACAGGUUGUGUAGUUGUAGUUGUUAACAGGUUGUGUAGGUGCUGACCAGGUUGUGUAGGUGUUGACAGGUUGUGUAGUUGUAGUUGUUAACCGGCUGUGUAGGUGUUGACAGGUUGCGUAGGUGUUGACCAGGUUGCGUAGGUGUUGACCAGGUUGUGUAGGUGUUGACCAGGUUGUGUAGGUGUUGACAUGCUGUGUAGGAGUUGUUGACAGGUUGUGUAGGAGUUGUUGACAGGUUGUGUAGGUGUUGACAGGUUGUGUAGGAGUUGUUGACAGGUUGUGUAGGAGUUGUUGACAGGUUGUGUAGGAGUUGUUGACAGGUUGUGUAGGAGUUGUUGACAGGUUGUGUAGGAGUUGUUGACAGGUUGUGUAGGAGUUGUUGACAGGCUGUGUAGGAGUUGACCAGGUUGCGUAGGUGUUGACCAGGUUGUGUAGGUGUUGACAUGCUGUGUAGGAGUUGUUAACAGGUUGUGUAGGAGUUGUUGACAGGUUGUGUAGGUGUUGACAUGCUGUGUAGGAGUUGUUAACAGGUUGUGUAGGAGUUGUUGACAGGUUGUGUUGACAGGUUGUGUUGACAGGUUGUGUAGGUGUUGGCAGGUUGUGUAGUUGUUGGCAGGUUGUGUAGUUGUUGAGAGGUUGUGUUGGUGUUGACAGGUUGUGUUGGUGUUGACAGGUUGUGUUGACAGGUUGUGUAGGUGUUGGCAGGUUGUGUAGGUGUUGGCAGGUUGUGUAGUUGUUGAGAGGUUGUGUAGUUGUUGACAGGUUGUGUAGUUGUUGACAGGUUGUGUCGUUGCUGACAGGUUGUGUUAAUGUUGACAGGUUGUGUUGAUGCUGGGAGGUUGUGUAAGUGUUGACAGGCUGUGUAGUUUUUGACCAGGUUGUGUUGAUCCUUACAGGUUGUGUUGAUGCUGACAGGUUGUGUAGAUGUUGACAGGCUGUGUAGUUGUUGACCAGGUUUUGUAGGUGUUGACCAGGUUGUGUAGUUGUUUUGUUUCUGCAUUCUUCAGGGGUUUAUGCAGUGUGUUGGCGGAUUAGCCACUUACUCAGUUAAAGGAGCAGUCCGUUCAUUCUGCUGAUGUGACGAUGUCACAGCUAUGAUGAUGUCACUGUGUCUCUGUCACAGCAGAUUGAAAUCAGAGGUCUCCCAACUGUGACCUCACUUCCUGUUGGACAUCACAGCUUCCUCAGUGGUUUGUACAGAGCCGAGGACGCCAUCCAAUCAGUACUCACCCAGCUGUCACAUGAUGUAGACACGUCCCAAUGAUAAUGUGAAGAAACACUUGAUGGGGGGGGGGGGGGGUCUGAUCUGUAGUCUGAUAGGUCCACUAACGUCCAAUCACGUGGCGAUUCAGACCUGAUAAAGAAUCAAUUCAAGAAUCAUUCUGUUAGCUUCAAGUCAUUCUGUUAGCCGCAGGUCAUUCUGUUAGCCGCAGGUCGUUCUGUUAGCUUCAGAUCAUUGUGUUCACUGCAGGUCGUUGUGUUCACUGCAGGUCGUUGUGUUCACUGCAGGUCGUUGUGUUAGCCACAGGUCGUUCUGUUAUUCAAGUCAUUCUGUUAGCCGCUGGUCGUUCUGUUAGCUUCAGAUCGUUGUGUUCACUGCAGGUCGUUGUGUUCACUGCAGGUCGUUGUGUUCACUGCAGGUCGUUGUGUUAGCCACAGGUCGUUCUGUUAGCUUCAAGUCAUUCUGUUAGCCGCUGGUCGUUCUGUUAGCCGCUGGUCGUUCUGUUAGCUUCAGGUCGUUCUGCUAGCUUCAGGUCGUUCUGCUAGCUUCAGGUCGUUCUCUUAGCUUCAGGUCGUUCUCUUAGCUUCAGGUCGUUCUUUUAGCUUCAGGUCGUUCUUUUCGCUUCAGGUCGUUCUGUUAGCCGCAGGUUGUUCUUUUAGCUUCAGGUUGUUCUGUUGUCUUCAGGUCUUUCUGUUAGCCGCUGGUCGUUCUGUUAGCUGCACGUCGUUUUUUAGCCGCUGGUCGUUUUGUUAGCUUCAGGUCGUUCUGUUAACUGUAGGUCGUUCUGUUAGCCGCUGGUCGUUCUGUUAGCCGCUGGUUGUUUUUUAGCUUCAGGUCGUUCAGUUAGCUUCAGAUCGUUGUGUUCAUUGCAGGUCGUUGUGUUCACUGCAGGUCGUUCUGUUAGCCGCAGAUCGUUCUGUUAGCCGCAGGUCGUUCUGUUAGCCGCAGGUCGUUCUGUUAGCCGCAGGUCGUUCUGUUAGCCGCUGGUCGUUCUGUUAGCCGCAGGUCGUUCUGUUAGCCGCAGGUCGUUCUCUUAGCUUCAGGUCGUUCUGUUAGCUGCAGGUCAUUGACCUGAUGGAGAACCGUUCCUCAUGCAUCAGGGUCCAUCUCAUAGCACUAACCCCUGUUUAGUGGAACCAGAAACCUCUGGUCCUCCUCACUAACUCUGGUCUUUUCUUCUGCCCUUCUUCGGUGG
Acanthochromis polyacanthus (spiny chromis) is the source of this 4239-nucleotide long non-coding RNA. RefSeq lists it as uncharacterized. The transcript has 3 exons. The record is from RefSeq and is a predicted model, not a curated record. Lineage: Eukaryota; Metazoa; Chordata; Actinopteri; Pomacentridae.